Molecule: transfer RNA, 72 nt
Filed under: Bos taurus (domestic cattle)
Lineage: Eukaryota; Metazoa; Chordata; Mammalia; Artiodactyla; Bovidae
Also listed under: 4 other names
Rfam family: tRNA
About the family: Transfer RNA (tRNA) molecules are approximately 80 nucleotides in length.
Source: Rfam by way of RNAcentral
UCCCUGGUGGCUCAGAUGGUAAAGAAUCUGCCUGCAAUGCAAGAGACCCGGGUUCAAUCCCUGGGUAGGGAA